GACGAACGCUGGCGGCGUGCUUAACACAUGCAAGUCGAACGGAAAGGCCCUGCUUUUGUGGGGUGCUCGAGUGGCGAACGGGUGAGUAACACGUGAGUAACCUGCCCUUGACUUUGGGAUAACUUCAGGGAACUGGGGCUAAUACCGGAUAGGAGCUCCUGCUGCAUGGUGGGGGUUGGAAAGUUUCGGCGGUUGGGGAUGGACUCGCGGCUUAUCAGCUUGUUGGUGGGGUAGUGGCUUACCAAGGCUUUGACGGGUAGCCGGCCUGAGAGGGUGACCGGCCACAUUGGGACUGAGAUACGGCCCAGACUCCUACGGGAGGCAGCAGUGGGGAAUAUUGCACAAUGGGCGGAAGCCUGAUGCAGCAACGCCGCGUGCGGGAUGACGGCCUUCGGGUUGUAAACCGCUUUCGACUGUGACGAAGCGUGAGUGACGGUAAUGGGUAAAGAAGCACCGGCUAACUACGUG
Molecule: ribosomal RNA, 468 nt
Filed under: uncultured bacterium
Lineage: Bacteria
Description: partial 16S ribosomal RNA
Rfam family: Bacterial small subunit ribosomal RNA
Source: RNAcentral